This 292-nucleotide ribosomal RNA is filed under the name uncultured prokaryote. RNAcentral's name for it is "partial 16S ribosomal RNA". It matches the Rfam family "Bacterial small subunit ribosomal RNA", at positions 505 to 796 of the family's 1533-position model. The record is from RNAcentral.
GUGUCAGCCGCCGCGGUAAUACGAGGGGAGCUAGCGUUAUUCGGAAUUACUGGGCGUAAAGCGCACGUAGGCGGCUUUGUAAGUUAGAGGUGAAAGCCCGGGGCUCAACUCCGGAAUUGCCUUUAAGACUGCAUCGCUUGAAUCCAGGAGAGGUGAGUGGAAUUCCGAGUGUAGAGGUGAAAUUCGUAGAUAUUCGGAAGAACACCAGUGGCGAAGGCGGCUCACUGGACUGGUAUUGACGCUGAGGUGCGAAAGCGUGGGGAGCAAACAGGAUUAGAAACCCGGGUAGUCC